GCGUUGAUCGGUGAGCUGUGUAGUUUGUUUAAGGGCAGUAUUAGUAAUAAUAAUACUAGUGUUUUUCAAAUUGGGGAAAAUUUUAAAGCAGAUGAGAUGAAUUGGAAUUCUGGUGCUUUUUUUGAGAUGAAAUUUUUGGCUUAAGUUGAAUUAUCAGUAAUGUUCUUUUUUUAGCAACAUGCCUUGGAAGAAUCUGGUUUCGUCCUUUUGUGUUUAUGUUACUGAGAAAUGCUCAGGAUUUGAUGAAUUUUAGGAUUUUUAUGAGUGAUUGGGGAAGUACAUAUUGAACUAGCAAAGUUCAGUCUUUUUGAGUUGAAAAAUAUACAUAUUUGAAUAUAGGUCCUUAUUAGUAAGUCUACCAGGAAUUAUUAUGCUGGCUUCUGUAUAUGUAGGUUAGAGUGUAUGCAAUCCUUACUCCUGC
This 421-nucleotide long non-coding RNA is filed under the name Solanum tuberosum (potato). RNAcentral's name for it is "long non-coding RNA (STUB_LNC010355)". Lineage: Eukaryota; Viridiplantae; Streptophyta; Magnoliopsida; Solanales; Solanaceae. The record is from RNAcentral.